Molecule: unclassified non-coding RNA, 349 nt
Filed under: soil metagenome
Description: partial contains 5.8S ribosomal RNA, internal transcribed spacer 2, and large subunit ribosomal RNA
Rfam family: 5.8S ribosomal RNA (bases 1-120)
Source: RNAcentral
GAUGAAGAACGUAGCGAAAUGCGAUAACUAAUGUGAAUUGCAGAAUUCCGUGAAUCAUCGAGUCUUUGAACGCACAUUGCGCCCCCUGGUAUUCCGGGGGGCAUGCCUGUCCGAGCGUCAUUGCUGCCCAUCAAGCACGGCUUGUGUGUUGGGUCCUCCUCCCCCCCGGGGGACGUGCCCGAAAGGCAGCGGCGGCACCGCGUCCGGUCCUCGAGCGUAUGGGGCUUUGUCACCCGCUCUGCAGGCCCGGCCGGCGCUGGCCGACGCGAAAGCAACCAUUUUUUCUCCAGGUUGACCUCGGAUCAGGUAGGGAUACCCGCUGAACUUAAGCAUAUCAAUAAGCGGAGGA